This 522-nucleotide ribosomal RNA is filed under the name uncultured bacterium. Its description in RNAcentral is "bacterial SSU rRNA". It matches the Rfam family "Bacterial small subunit ribosomal RNA", at positions 383 to 847 of the family's 1533-position model. The record is from RNAcentral.
CUGAUGCAGCCACGCCGCGUGCGGGAUGAAGGCCUUCGGGUUGUAAACCGCUUUCAGCAGGGACGAAGCUGACGGUACCUGCACAAGAAGGUGCGGCCAACUACGUGCCAGCAGCCGCGGUGACACGUAGGCACCAAGCGUUGUCCGGAUUUAUUGGGCGUAAGAGCUCGUAGGCUGUCCGGGCAGUCGGGUGUGAAAACUCUGGGCUCAGCCCAGAUGCGGCACCCGAUACUGCUGUGACUUGAGUACGGUAGGGGAGUGGGGAAUUCCUGGUGUAGCGGUGAGAUGAAUUGUAGCGGAGGAACGCCUGUGGGGAAGGCUCGACCUGGGCGUGAUUUACGCUGACGACGAAUUGAACGCCUCGUACCGAUUCUUGGAACCUUGAUUAUUCUGGGUUUAGGCCUAAUUCAUUUAUAGGGGGGCUCCAUACCGAAAUCGCAUUCUAAAUCUAAGACCCCCACUGCGAACCUCUCGGCAUGGGGCUCGCGUUUUGGUUUUGCGGCAAUUUCAAUGUAUGGCUUA